CAGCGGCGAACGGGUGAGUAACACGUGAGCAACCUGCCCCUGACUCUGGGAUAGCCUCGGGAAACCGGGAUUAAUACCGGAUAUGACAUCGCCUCGCAUGGGGUGGUGUGGAAAGUUUUUCGGUCGGGGAUGGGCUCGCGGCCUAUCAGCUUGUUGGUGGGGUGAUGGCCUACCAAGGCGACGACGGGUAGCCGGCCUGAGAGGGUGACCGGCCACACUGGGACUGAGACACGGCCCAGACUCCUACGGGAGGCAGCAGUGGGGAAUAUUGCGCAAUGGGCGAAAGCCUGACGCAGCGACGCCGCGUGAGGGAUGAAGGCCUUCGGGUUGUAAACCUCUUUCAGCAGGGAAGAAGCGCAAGUGACGGUACCUGCAGAAGAAGCACCGGCUAACUACGUGCCAGCAGCCGCGGUAAUACGUAGGGUGCAAGCGUUGUCCGGAAUUAUUGGGCGUAAAGAGCUCGUAGGCGGUUUGUCGCGUCUGCUGUGAAAACGCGGGGCUCAACUCCGCGCCUGCAGUGGGUACGGGCAGACUAGAGUGCAGUAGGGGAGACUGGAAUUCCUGGUGUAGCGGUGGAAUGCGCAGAUAUCAGGAGGAACACCGGUGGCGAAGGCGGGUCUCUGGGCUGUAACUGACGCUGAGGAGCGAAAGCGUGGGUAGCGAACAGGAUUAGAUACCCUGGUAGUCCACGCCGUAAACGUUGGGCGCUAGGUGUGGGGCUCAUUCCACGAGUUCCGUGCCGCAGCAAACGCAUUAAGCGCCCCGCCUGGGGAGUACGGCCGCAAGGCUAAAACUCAAAGGAAUUGACGGGGCCCCGCACAAGCGGCGGAGCAUGCGGAUUAAUUCGAUGCAACGCGAAGACCUUACCAAGCUUGACAUGCAGG
RNAcentral lists this ribosomal RNA (884 nucleotides) under Quadrisphaera oryzae. Its description in RNAcentral is "bacterial SSU rRNA". It matches the Rfam family "Bacterial small subunit ribosomal RNA", at positions 93 to 992 of the family's 1533-position model. Lineage: Bacteria; Bacillati; Actinomycetota; Actinomycetes; Kineosporiales; Kineosporiaceae. The record is from RNAcentral.